CCGCUGCUGUCCGACGUGCUGCCGGGGCUGAACGGGGUCGCGCUGCUGUCCAGGCCGAACGAGGGGCUCAGCGGGUCGGCUUUGACCGGCGCAUCGGUCGGGGACGGAGGGUCAUCAGAGGCCGGAUCCAAAAGACUGAUAUGAGGUCCAUAACUGCUGUUCCCCAAGGAUUGCGUGUGUGAAAUGUCUGUGGUGAUGGGAGGAAGACAAGCGAAGGAGAUGCAGGGAGGGAAUGGAGCUGCACACUGAGCAGGAGCUACAGAGCUGCAGGUUUAUGCCGAGACUGCGGCAGAGACCCAGACACCGAGACGGAUGAUCCAGCCGAACCGCGUCUAGUCGAGGAAGCGGAGGCUCCACCAGACGGCCCCGGACGACCUGCAGCAAAUCCACACACUUUAGUUUAAAGACCGUUUAA
Molecule: long non-coding RNA, 415 nt
Organism: Labeo rohita (rohu)
Lineage: Eukaryota; Metazoa; Chordata; Actinopteri; Cypriniformes; Cyprinidae
Exons: 3
Source: RefSeq, a predicted model, not a curated record